GAAGCUUUCCUGUGGAUUUGACGAAGGCCAUCUCUGCAAGUGGCAAACAUCCAGUGGGCCGGGAGGUGCGACUUGGUUGCUCAGCGAUGUCGAGAACGGUCGUCCUGAACUGCCACGUCAGGAUCACACUCUUGGAACAUCUAAAGGAAAGUUCAUCUACGUAGAAAAUAAAGCAAAGAACAGCACCAUCAAGGCAACGCUCCUGAGCCCACCACUAGACCUGGACUGGGUUGGAGCAGCUUGUCUAUCGUUCUGGCACUUCGCGGUUCAGGAUAAUCCGAGCAGUUGCAAUCUGACUGUAUUGUCAGCCAACGAAAGUGAAUGGUGGUCGGGUUCACAGCAGCUGAAACGUUCCUGGACCCAAGAAGUCAUCCGGAUUUGGCUACAAGAAGGCAAAGUGAGAAGCUAGUAGGAUUAACAUUAAAUGAAGAGUGCACUUACGCAAUUGCCUGCUACGUCUCUUGCGACGGACGUGCCUGACAACGA
This is a long non-coding RNA of Rhipicephalus sanguineus (brown dog tick), 486 nucleotides long. RefSeq lists it as uncharacterized. The transcript has 3 exons. NCBI's taxonomy places the organism in Eukaryota, Metazoa, Arthropoda, Arachnida, Ixodida, Ixodidae. The record is from RefSeq and is a predicted model, not a curated record.